CGCACUAGUCGGGGAGUUAGCGGUGCCCUGUACCUGCAAUCCGCUGCAGCAGGGAUGAAUUCCUAUACCCGGGUGAGUAUAUAUGUUUUCCGCACCGGUAACGCGGUGUUGAGAGAGCGGUCUUGCGCAACGAAACCCCGUGAACCAUGUCAGGUGGGGAACCAAGCAGCAUUAAGCGGAAUGUUUCGUGUGCCGCGGGGUUGCCGCUUUUGAGCCGGCUGACCGU
Molecule: signal recognition particle RNA, 226 nt
Filed under: human gut metagenome
Description: Bacterial large signal recognition particle RNA
Rfam family: Bacterial large signal recognition particle RNA
About the family: The signal recognition particle (SRP) is a universally conserved ribonucleoprotein involved in the co-translational targeting of proteins to membranes. Archaeal SRP consists of a 7S RNA and homologues of the eukaryotic SRP19 and SRP54 proteins. In most bacteria, the SRP consists of a 4.5S RNA and the Ffh protein (a homologue of the eukaryotic SRP54 protein).
Source: RNAcentral